AGGCCAGAAGGUAGCAUUUAAUGCAACACGAGGGCUUCUGUGAAGGCAAAACUGGUCCUCCUUUGUGGGUUUCUGUAGGUUGUUGUGGCUUGAACAGAUCUGUUUAUGCUACACUUGCUAUGGCAACGUUUAUCUGAUAUGGACAAAAGGCAUUUUGAUUCUUGAAUUAAUAACACUUGAGUCAAGCCUAUGAUUCAACAAGAGGUAUUCAAACAGUUUAAGUGAAGGCAAUGUUUUCUCUGAAGCUAAUUAAUGCAGCAACAAACCUUUGGCUGAAGUGAUCCAAAUGUGCAGCAAGCGAGUGUUACCCUGUUCUAUAAACCAUCGAGCUAUCCUUGCAGUGAGUGAAUGGAGAGGGGAAAAAAGAAAGGCACAUGCUGUUGGUGUGAACCUCGGAUGGGAGCCUGGGCAAUUUCACGUUUUAAGGAGGACCUGCAGAGGUGGCUGUUGUUCAGUCUGACAAGUGUUUGACUGCAUUGUAAAGGGCGAGAGGGCCCUGGACACAGAAGUGACUGUGAAUUCACCCCAGCCUUCCUCUCUGCUCCACUUUCCUCUACGUGCCCCUAAGCUGCAGCCCCCACAAGGCUCAGGUGACUUGAUUUCAUGGCACACCUUUUCUGAGAAGCAGACGCGGCCCCAGGGGAUCAGAUAUUUUUGAACACCUACCAUAUGCCAAACACACAAAAAAUGAAAAAGGCCCAGUGCCCACUGAACCAGAGCCCACCAUCUGGUUAGGAGUGCAGACGCGACAUCAAUAACUCUGAUAGGUAUAAAGCUGGGGUUCCCUACCAUUGCUGGGCCCCAGAGUCAUCUGAGCAGCAAGUUGAAAAUGCAGAUGCUUGGAAUCCACCCCAGAUCUGCCAGAGGAAGAUCUCUAGAACAGGAAGGGGACCAGCGCAUUUGCAUUUUAAUCAGCUGCCCCCUCCCUCAGAUUAACUCUAAUGUACAGCAAAGAUUGGAACUACUAGUAUCAAAGAAAGCACAUUGGACUUAAUGGCAUUAGUCCUGCAAGCUUCUUCAGCUGGGCCCAUAGCCUUAUUUGGUUUAGGAUUCGGAGCUUUUAAUAUCUGCCUAGGCCCGUGUGGGACUCAAUCAAUGGAAACAUUAAUGAGAGAAGAUACAAGUUCAAGUCCAGGGCAAACCUGGUCCAGGUUUGUGUACAAGGGAGGAAGUAAUAUCUCCUCUGAUGAGUGCUGUAUAAUUUAAAUGAAAUAAAAUAUGGAAAAGCAACUAUCACUGUGCUUGCAGAUCAAUAGAUGCUCUGAAAUGGUGGGUUAUCACCAGCCUUGGCUUCCUCCUGUGGAACUCAUCGUGAUAAAUGCUGCCAUGUGAUUUGAAUUCCACUAUGACUUUCCUUCAGCUUUUUCCCUAUGAGCAGGAGAAUAUUUAAGAGAAAAGCAUUCUUACUUCCAAUUGUUUUCCUCUAGUCAAUGCUAAUGAUUGGAAUUUUUUCUUUUUUUGCCUCCAGCCACUUUGGUGAGAAAAGAAUAGGUAAGACUUGGCACUAGAAGCUGACCGUGGACACAUUGGUAGUCAGGAAAUCCUAGAAACUUGGGGCUUGGCAAGCUUUCCAAGAUCAUCUGAUCUAACCCUCUUGGUCUUUUACAUCAGAAACCUGGGGCCCAGAGAGGGACCGUGGUUUGCUGAAGGUCACAGAGCCAGCUCACGGCAGAGCUGAGGCAAGACCCCAGUGAAAGUCUGGUUGUCAAAGUGUCUCUCUGGAGCUCUUGGUACGCCAUGCAAGUGCCCCAGGCCCUCUGAAAGAGAGAGAGAGUGAAAAGCGAGUAGAACGACCCACUUAAACUACAGAAAGUCCCAUUUUUACCUGUUUUAUAUAAACAUUCUCAGUAUGACUGCAUUUGAAGAAACAAUUUUAUGAUUAAAGAUAACUGAAAAGCACGGCACUAGACCAUUCUGCAGUUUCCAUCACAGUUGGCUCUUUCCUGCCCACCACUUAACUUCCUGCAACCAUUAUCAGACAACAAUAUAAUUUUAGACAUUGUGUUUGGAGUCUAGUGUUGCAAAAUAUCUUCCCAUCCAAAUGUCCUUCUUCCUCAUAAUAAGAUAAAGACAUCAUGAAGCUUCCCCUGAAAAACUACAAAAGAACAAAUGAAUACAAUGAGCCCCAUCAGCUUAGGAUUAUAAAUGUUCAGGGGAUAGUGGAAACCAAGGAAAGGCCAAUACAAGUCUGUUCAAAUGUACUGUUAUAGAUGGAAGUAUGGUUAAUUAGCUCUUCAGUACUAAAAAAAUAUUUUAAAUCUGCUUACAAUUAAAACAUAAUUAACUUUUCCAUUUUCCCUUUAUGACUUUUUCACCAAAGAAUCAGUAAAAAUUCGAGCUAAGAUUAAAGAUAGAUGUGUCAGAGACUUCUACUUGCCUACCAAAUAGUCAUUUUCUCCUUAUGAACAAACAUCGAUGUUAUUAAAGGAGGAAAUGGGCCCAGUUAAAUAUGUAUCCAACCUCUCUUGCAGCUAAGGGAUAUCAUAGGAGAGCAUUAUGAUUGAUGGGAUAUGAGUAGAAAUAACAGAAAGAGACUUCUGGAAAAUCUCUUAAAACAGGGCUUCCCACACUUACUUUGCCUCUACUUAUCUGGUUUACCCUGUCUAAACAUGAACAUGAUGUCUGGCAUUCCAGCAGCCAUUUUGAGAGCAUGAGGAUAAGAGUUAACCCCCUACAGAUGGUGGAGCACAAAGCUAGAAGGGCCCUAAGUCUUUGAAGGCCUCAGGGAGCUGCCGUACCAGCCUGAGUGCCCACCUCCAAAUGUAUUUUACAUGAGAGAAAAAUAAACCCCUGAUGUCAUCAUAGUACUUCUACUAUUGUUGUUUCACUUUUUCGUUUCUUUUACUAGCAACCAAACAGAAUUCAUAGCUUAGACGGUAGGCAAGCCAAACUACGAUAAAUGAAGCUAAGCUUAAGAGCAUUUCCUAUGUAACAGGAAGCAUUACCCGCCAGAAAUCUGCCCAAGAAAGCUUAUUCAGGUGAGAUUUCCUGACUUUUUUACGUUUUUCCAGAUCUGAAAGUUUUGGAAAGUGAAUAUGAACAGUAAAGUACGUGGGCAGUUAUCCAAAGAGAAUGGUUUUAUGUUUGCCUAGCACUGUACAAUGAACAGUGUUGGAUAUGACUUGUCAAUGAUUCUAUAUUCCUAAGCGUCAACUCAAUAAAAGAAAGUUAAAUUUCAAACCAUUUUCAAGAGGGGCUUAUUGUAUAUGAAAAGGCCAUUUAGGGCACCCCACUGAUUUUGAGAUCAUUUUCAGACUUGCCAUAUGAAUUGUAAUGUCAAAUGACAUCCAUACCUACCACCUCUUUGCUUCACCUUUGUAUCAGUUCUCUUAGGCAAUGUAGACUAAAAAAGCAUAAAACCACUGCGUCUCCAUUAGAGCUCCCCAAAGUCACGCCGAAGCAUAGGAAGCAUGCAUUGAACACAUUGGUAUAUGUGUCAGAUAUAGAAAACAGCAAACUUAAACAGUGUGUCUUUCGAAGUCCUGAAGUUGACUAACGAGCUGAGUAGGGAAGGGCACUGAGAGUGUUUCCCUCUGGAUUUUGCAAGAUGGAAGCAAGCAGUCAGGCUCAGGAAAUCCAUUCAGCAAGGCACUGGGCAAAAAGGCGGAGAUCAAUUGGGAUCUAGGAGGCAGUCAGACAGAGCCACCAGCAGAUACAGUGGCAGGCUGGAGUGCCAAGAGCAUGCUACCUAAAUGCUGGAAGCAACCCUUAGUAGAGACCCCAAAUAGGAACAAUCUUGUCCUGUGCCCUUUCACCAAUAGUGACAAUGAUGCUGAUGGACACAUAAAAGAACAUGAUUUACCUGUCAGCAUUCCUAAUUUCCACAGGCAGGCCACACUCUAUGCUUAAAUAAUGAGAUAUACAUAUAUAAUAUGUCCUAUUAGUUAACCAAGGAGAAUGAGGCUCAAGGAGAUUGAAAAAGUUGGCCAAUGUCAGAAAGUGCAUAAGUGACAGAGCCGAUGCUCAAACUCAAGCCUGUCUGCCUCCAAAACCCAUAUUCAUAACUCCUGAUCCAUGUUAGCUCUCUUAGAGGAAGACUCUCCCAAAGUUGGGGGCCAAAGGCCCUUACUGAAGAGCCGUAACUAAAGCGAGAGUCCUGUGGCUUUGAUGAGAAGGUUGGUUUCAUCUAAACGUUUUUAAUUUCCUUGAGCUUAUUGGAAUAUUGAAAAUAGUUCAUAGAUACCCCCAUUUCCACCUGCAUGAACCUACAAAGAAUGUACAAAGUCUAAUUUAGAAAACAAUGGGCCCUGGGGAAAUUCAUAGGGGUGGGCGUAGGGUGAGGAGUGUCACUGUCACAAGACAGUCAAGCUUUGAUGGUACACUGUGCCAAACCAGACCUUUAUUUCUCUAAUUAUGGCUUCCUCUGCUCCCCAAAAUCUGUUUCCCCAUAUCCUGAGGCAUAAAGGCCAAAUUUAAGUAUAUAGCCGUAACUGCCCUAAGAAAACAAUAAAACACCUUUACAUACCUUGGUUGGAGUCCAAAAUUUGCAGGAUAUCUUCCCACUCACUGUCCCAUGGACCUCAUGUAUCUCCUGAGAAGUCACCAAACAACUCAGUCUUCCCAGAACACAAGGACAGUGCCACACUCCACCGCUUUGCAUCACUUUCUACCACCACCUAAAAUGCCCUUCCCCUGUUCCUUGCAUGGCAAAAUAUUAUCUGUUCUUAAAGGUGCUGCUCAAAUACCAACUCCUUCUAGAAGCUUCCCUCAGACCAGAUGCCCCUACUUCACUUCUUCAUUGUCCAAAUUGAAUUGGCCCAAGAGAAUGUUUUGCCCUCUGCACUUUAUUUAGGUCUCUGUCUACCACUGUAGUGUUAUUAAUUCAUUUUGCUUGAGUGUGUCUAUGAGCCAAGUACAGUAACUUACUCACACAUGAAUCUCCAGAACCUUGCAAGUGCCUGAUACAUAGUGAACACUCAAUGAAGGCUGAAUGCCUGGAUAAAUGGUUGUGAUGAUUUCAAUAGAAAUCAAGUUUAAAAAAAUAAGCUCUUAGCUAAUUGUGAUUUGGAUGUUUUCCUGAGUUUGUGAGACCCUCACAAAAUAAAAUAUUUCAUAAAAGUCUAAUAAUAGAAUUCUAAUGUAAAUCAAAAGGUAAAUAGUUGCAUUUACACUCUUGCUCACUUUUUUCCCCAGUAGUUUCCUGUCAAUGUCUACCAUUCCUGUGAAGUUUAGGGUCUUGGUUUGUAAGAAACCUUCAUUAGCCACCAUGUUAGGCUUUCAAAUGCUCAUAAAUCAGCAAUUCCUUAUGUCUAAUAUGGGAAUCUUCCUGAGCAAGAAUUUGGGACAAAUUUUCAGAUUCCUGUCACACUCUAACAUCUCUCGUAAUCAAUAUUUAUUGAGCACUCAUGUUGUGUUGAUGCUUUUCUAAGCACCUUCCAUGUAUGAACUCACUUAAACGUCUAGAGGCUGAGGCAAGGGCUCAGGCUAACAGUGGGCGUUUCACGUAGUGAAGAGAAGGGACUGAGAUUUCACCAGGUAGACAACAACUGAUACAAGAGUUUCAGCUCCAAGACCUGCAAAGAUUCCCCUGUCAUAAUGGGAUUAUCCGGAUCAUUUACAUAUUAUGCUUACCACUUAUAAAUGCAUACUGAAAUAUUGACAGAUUAUGAUAGGAUGUCUGAGGUUUCUGGUAAAAUUAUCCAGUUGCAGGGAGAUGGAAAAAUAGAAAAGGAUAUCAACAAACAUGAGCAAUCAUAAGUUGAUACUGGUUAUAGCUGAGUAAUGGUACAGGUAGCACUCUCUAAUUUUACAUAUAUUUGAAAUUUCCAUUUUAAAAAGUUCUUUUAAAAAAAGAACCCACUUAAACCAUAACCAUAACAAUGCAAUUGAUAACAACUCUGGCCGAGCUCUCUCAGGUUGGUGCCCCACCCUGCCAGUCUGUCUCUGCAGCUUCUGCUUCUCUUACAGAACUCUCCACAAUGUGUGGUUAUUUUGUUUAUUUGUUUUCAGUCUGUCUCCCACUGAGCUUUAAGUUCUGAAAGAGGAGCAGCUCUGUCUAAUUUGCUAUUGAAUCCUCAGCAUCUAGCACAAUGCCUGUGCAGAGGGGGAGCUAAAUAAAUAUUUGUCAAGGAAGGAAGGAAGGGAGGGAGAGAUGGAGAGAGGGAAGGAGGGAGGGAGGCAGAGAAGAAAAACAUGGUGGCACCAUAGGAAGCACUUAACUCAUAUCGUCUCAUUUAAUUCCAACCACCCCAUGAGAAAGCUGCCAUUAAAAAAGGUCAUUGGCUGAGAAGUAGCAGAGCCAGGAUUUGGAAAUGACCUGGCGCCAUCUGGCAUGCCCAAGAUUGCAGAGGUGUACUGCCCACCAGCACCUCUGGCAUACCUGGUUGGUGUUCACAAAGGCCACGAAUUGAAUCACAAGCCAACAAAAUGCCAAUGUGAAAGCAGGCCUGGCAUAUUCACAUAAGAGCUAUGUUUAUCUGUCUAUUAUUGAGCCUACAAUUUAAUGAACUCACUUGGAAAAUACAUCUAAUGGAUGGCCGUGCCUGGUAUCCCACGUCUACCAGCACAUCUGAAAAAUCUGCCUGAUGCUCAGACCAAAUAUUAGGUAAAUCAGUGCCCGAAAUAUAUAGUGAAUAUAGAAUUCUACUUCAUUCUGAUGAGUUUUUAAAGAUACAGUACAAAUAUUAUGUUAAGAAACAAAUACCAAAAAUUUUUUUUAAAUCGAGCAAAGCAGAAACCCUAAGAUCAGGAUAGCAUUCUAAUAUACUGGAGUCGAGCAGACCUUGUUUUCAAUGCUGCCGCUGCCCUUCAGUGAAUGUGAGGCAAUGAAAAACUGACUUAACUUCGCGCCUCAGUUUCCUGAGCCUUACCGGAAUGGCUGAGAGUAGCUUAAACACCUUACAAUUUAAGCUCAUUCCUCUACAAUUCUCAUGGCCUUGUGAGAUACUUUAGAUGUGCAUUGAAUGUGCUCUCUUACCUUUUUCUCUCCUGUUGGUUUCAGUCUACAGAGUGCUUUUACCCCGCCAGCUGAAAGUCUUUGGGUAACCAAUAAUCCAGCAACUCCCCUUUUCACACUUGCCAUUCUGACUUUCAGUUGUUUGAACUGAGUGGUCAAAAGGUGCUGUGGUGUGCUGCUCAUUUAUUCCAUCUUAGGCCCACAAAGGGUCUCCUUGUAACUUCUCACGCUUAGUCCUAGUUGUGCUCACUUCAACCUAACACAAGUGGUCAUGUCACUCUCCCAUGUGACAGAACUUCAAUAUUUAACAGUGGUGGGUGAUCAAUCCUUCCAGAUAAAAUAUCAACAGUGCCAUCAACCUCAUGACACUUGAUCCUUACGGUGCCUACACUAAGUUUCACAGUGGCUCUUUAGAAUAAAAUAUACUUUUCUAAAAAUUUGGGAAUGUCACAGCUACAUCUUUGCAACAAGAGUAGAAACUUGAUCAACCGUUAGUGCCCAGGCUCCCUGUCAUACGUAGAGAACAUCUGCCUUUUCAAAAAGAGAAGCUUCAAUGGGAGGGGCCUCAUGGGACACAAUGUGUCCAUCAUUAUGUGUGGGGCUUCCUGUUCGAGCUAACUGAACAGUUCAGAGAAAUGGAAGAAUCACCCCGGAAGGUUUCCUCAGCUUUUCCUGAUAAGGACGUGUUUCAUAUCCCCUAAAUUACUCUCUGAUGUUUGCUCCGGAAAGGAACCUAAGUAACGAUUCUUCCCUUCUUUUUUGUAAAUGGCAAGCUAGGAAUGAAUAUAUUACUUGAGCAAGAUGAUCAUACCAAAUUAGAUGAUGCUUGUUGGAAUAAGGAGACUAUAAAUUUUAAAGUAAAUAAAUAAGUGGUUUUAAAGCAUGACACAGAUUAAGCGACAUGAGAAUUAUCAUCGAGCUUCCAUGAUCAUUUGGCAUCCAUCUGGGGAGAAUGGUCAACCAACACAGCUUCCCUCUACAGAAGAAGCUCUAAGCGGUUCAGGCUGGGUCUUGAACAGCGAUUCUCAACUUUGAUUGCACAGUAGACUCACCUGGGGAGCUUUUAAAACUAGUCAGGUUCUAAUGACUACCCCAUCAGAUUCUAACGUGCAGCCAGUGUUGGGAAUCACUGGCUUAGAAAGAAAAUGGUGGCCUGUGGAAACUAGGGUCAUCAGGGGACUUUGGAACCCCUCAGACAGGUGGUCACCAGCCUCAGCAGAGAGCAGCUCAUUCUGCCCAUUAUCAAGGAGUCUUGGUCCACUGAGCCUCUUGUCUCCUCAGGUGAAUGAACCCUUGUGGCUACAGCUGACCAAGAUAGUCACCACUUGGCAGCAACUCCAAGCAAGGCAGCUGGUAUCCCCCCACCCUUCUUUGGCUUUCAGAUUUCCUCAGAUGCACCCUGAGGACACAAUACUAACGUGGAGAUAAAGGCAGCUGGGGUGAUAACACCUCCCACCAUUGUAGGCCUCCUUAACAAUCAUCCCUCACACAGGACUAGUUUCAGGUGUAGAUAAAGCAGCCCAAUAAUCAUGAUCACAGUGAUAACUUAUGAAGUAUCUGCUAUGUGGCACCAACCUAGAAGCUUUACAUGUAUCAUUUCUAAAAAAGAUAUUAUCUUCACUCUGUAGAUGGGGAUAUUGAAGCUCAAAGAGAUUAGGCAACUUGACCCAAAACACAUGGCUAGGACCCAAAUCUAUCUGGCUCUGUAACCCAUGUCUUUCUAGGCCAUGCUGCUGGUCUUUAAGUCUUGCUCCUUACGGUUUCUUUGCCCCAUCCCAAAAUUAAAUCAAGUCCAACCCAUGAGAAGACACCUCUUGGGUGGUGGAGAGGAUCAGGCAGAGGGAGCAGGGAUUAGUCAGUCAUUCCUACCACAGUGUGUGUGAGUCUGCUAACUCACCUACUACUGACAGUGAUGAGGAAGGAACAGGACCAGGGCAGUGGCAGGAUGAGCUGGGACAACUUGUGAGAACCAGAAACUGCAUGGCAUCACCCUCUGAGGAGGGAAGUAGAGAGAGAAGAGGGGAUGUCCCAAGGGGUCAGAUGAGGCCAGAGUAAGUUAACAUGGAAACCUUAUUUUGUUUUCUCCCCUUAGGACCUCCUCCUUCUUUUGCUCCUGCCAAGUAAAACUCAUUUAAGUCUUAUCAGAUUUAACCAAACCAUGGGAAGGCCGGUAAGUCAAAGGCAGUGAACUGAUUUCUGGUUUCCCAGUAUCAACGUCAGAAACCUGGUCAGGAUGUUGGUGAGCAGGAGUGGGUAGGAAGGAGUGGGGGAGUGUGUUCUGGGGCCAAAGGUGUUACAAGUAAGGAAAAAAAUUAACAGAAGUUCGAUUUUACUCUUUACCUGGAUUCCACUGUGACCCUAGCUGCAGAAAAGGCCUCUGUCCCACGGCAGCCAAGGGUAUGCCAUCUCCUAGAGCUCAAGUUAAGCCACAAAAUGAAAAGCCUAACUUUUGGGAUGAGCAUGCAAUGUCUGCUCCCGAGAUUGGGUUAGGUUCUUUCUGCUCUGCUCUGCUCUUCUCCAGGCACGGGGAGGUUGGUUCUGGUGCUGACAGAGGACCUCCCUGGAGACCAGAUGUGCACACUGAUUCUCAGGCCCCUCCUUCGGCAUAAUCAAAAGUCAACUGCAGGAAGACAGUGGUCAGACGGACUUUCCCACAAUACCCAGUUCGCACAGGUCGGAAGGGCUCUCUGGAAGCCAGUACAAACAGACCCAGGCACAUUUCCCCGGGGCCUGAUGUCCAGAUUGGUUUCUCAGUUUGGUUGCUGCCUACGCAGCCACGCUGGUGUGCCAAGCCCUGGGGUUGGUUUUCAGAUCUUCCUGAAGGUAACGACAAGCCUGUUCCCUCAGCAGGGACUUAGAGGGAGGGUGAUCUUUGGAAUCAGAGCAGAGGAAACUCCCUCCGAAACGCAAUCCCUGUCCCUCCAGCCCUGCUGGGCAGAAACAGGGAAAAGUAACACGCCGUGAGGUGAAAAUGAUGCCCGAGGAAAGGGCACCGGAGGAAGAAAGGCCGGAAUUUGGUGCUAAUCAGACAGGAGCCUGAGGUUUUUAAGAAAUCAGAGUCUACUUUUCCUGCACUUGGAAAUUCCACAUGACAAGCCCUUAAGGAGCACUGAAUAUGGCCUUCACCCAUAGGGCUAUCCAUAAAUUCAGCUGUAGAGAGAUGGAGAGAAGCUAGAUAGCCAAAACUGGCAGCAACCACCAGCACCCUUUCUGGUCCUUCUGUUAUGUAUCAGGCACUGUGAUGGGUGAUGUUCAAGCAUGAUCUCAUUUAAUCCCCCACAACCCCCAUUUAAGGUGGCUCUUAUUAUUCUCGUUUUACAGAUGAGAAUACUGCGGCCUCAAGAGUUUUAGUAAUUUACCCACAAAGUUUGGCUCUCUGCGGGGCUCUUUACAUACCUGGCCUCAUUUUUUUUUUAUACUUUGUUUUUUGGUGAGGAAGAUUGUCCCUGAGCUAACAUCUGUUGCCAAUCUUCCUUUUUUUUUGUUGCCAAAGCCGGAGUACAUAGUUGUAUAUCCUAGUUGCAAGUCAUUCUAGUUCUUCUAUGUGGGAUGCUGCCACAGUAUGCUUGAUGAGCAGUGUAUAGUUUUGCACCCAGGAUCCAAACCGGCAAACUGCAGGCCAUCUAAGUGGAGUGUGCAAACUUAACCACUUAGCCACGGGGCCAGCCCUUGGCCUCGUUUAUUUCUGUUGAACUGGAGUUGAUCUCAGAUUCUAGUCAACCAGGAAAUGCUGAAUGGGCAUUAGGAGCCCUGCCCGUUGCAAAGGAAGGAAAGAACCCGUAGGAAGGGGUAAGCCAGUUUUGCUUCCUUUUGAGUCCUUGGUAUACAUGGUGAUGGGACUUUAUUGGUUGCUGUCAAUAAAGUUUUUUGAGAAAAUGAAAAUUGUCUUCUUGGCCCCAGCUUAACAGUGAAUUAUCUUCUACAACUUGGAAACCAAGAAGCCUACAAAACUAAUGUCUAAGGUUCAAAAGCUUGCGUAGUGACAGGUGAUGGGAGAUUAGUUAAGUGUUUUAUAAAUAAAUGGAUGAAUAAAUGCAUGAUUUUUUCUUAAAAGUAUUUCAGGGCAAGGCUGACCUACAUUCCUGUGCCCCUUCCACCAGAUGUUCCGUAUGUAUUUCCAUGUCUGUUGCCUUUGCUUAGAAGCUUUUGGCUUAGAAAAAUCAGGCCUGAAGACAAAGCUUAGCCAUGUGAAAUUAGGCUCCUUAGUAAUUCCUUAUUGAAAAUCGCAGUAAUGAUUUUAAAAAAAAAUCCCACAAUAUAUUUUACUCUCUUAUCCAUAUUUAUUUCUUCCAGUCAACAAAAAAAUUCAAAUGAAUCUAGGAAAGUUUCUAGGAUUCUUUUUCCUCUUUUGCAAGAACGACAGUUCUCCAGACAUACCUUCUUUAAAAAUAAAGUGCAUAUAAUUUUCCACAUUCAAGACUUAGAGUUCUCUGUUUUUGGAAGAUGCUGAAAAUAGACGCAUCUGCUGUAAUAUCAGAGCUUUAGAACUGAAGUGUCUGUCCAAACUCAGAGUGGUCUUUGGAAAUAUGGCUGGUAGUGUUCUCUAGCAUGGCCAUGAUGAAUUUUGUCGGAAAAAGGAGGCCAUUUUGGAUCCUGACCCCCCACCUGGUUAUGCCUCAGUGUUGACUUCUGUACCUGCCCACAGCAAUAUGCGUUGGCUCUGGCAUGUACAGGGCCGCGCACCCCCGUCAAUGGAGUCCAUUGUUUCACAGCCGGGCACCUGCACAGCAGGCUCAAACAAUGAGGCCAUACCGAGAACCCCUCCUUUCUCCUCAGGGCACCCCCUGUGAAAGAAAACUUGUUGAGGCCUGGAAGCCCACUUGCAUCAUAAUUAGGCUGCUUGGCCAACAGUUAACCACCACCGUCUCCAGGUGAACACACAAGCAACUUCCAAAUCCUAGCUACACGGACAAGGCAGCUUUAGCAUCGGAUCUGCACUCCCCUUACUCGGAAUGAAUGUUACGUUGAAGAAUGAAGACUCUGCAAGGCUAGAGCUCUGCCCUGGGACUGCUGGGUGCUUUGGUUUUCACAGAACACCUGCACCCUUGGGCCAUCCUCAGAUCUGUGAGAUCUUCCUGAGCGAGACCCAAUAACCUACUCAGACCAGGUCUUAGGCAGAGCCACAAAAUACCCCGAAUUCCUGCUGCAGAUGGCCUUCUCUGAGGAGGCGUUAGUGCUAUUACGACAAUAAAGAUGAUUCAGUUUAAAAAAUGUUUAUUUAUGACACUACAAUGCUUCCCUUUAAAUUUUUUUUACUCUUUUUAAUAUCUUUCAUUUAUUUGUUGGUUGACUUGAGUUUAAAAGACAAAACACAAAGGUAACCAUCCUCGUUUUUGUCGUCAGGCACACCUGGAGUCUAAUCUUGGGUCUACCACAUGAAGAAUGUGUGAAUUUAGAGUGAAUCGCUUAAUCUCUGAAUCCCUCUUUUUUCAUCUGCAAAAUGGGGAUAAUUAUAACCAAAAUAUUAUUGAGAAUUAAAUUAAGUAAUGUACGUAAACUAUUUAGCACAGGCCGUGACCCACAGUAAUUGGUCCUUAAUAAAUGGUAGCUAUUACUCUAUUGCUUUCAUAUAAGCCCAAUGGUAAGUUAAUAAAGAAUAUAACGGUAGGAUAACUGAUGACAACUGAGUUUCGAAUGUCCACCUUCACCAAAACUUAAUGAGGCUUGGAAUGUGAAAUUGAAAUUGACAUCCAAACCACUAUAUCUCACAUAAAUCCUAGAAAACAGAGAUGGUCAGUGGCCACUUCAAUCUCUAGUUCUGAUCGAAGGUUAAGAGAAUUCCAAAAUCUUCAAGUUCUAUACUAGUCAAAAAAAGAUAACCAAAUGAUUUCAUUGGACUGAAUUUUAAGACAGAUGUGAAGCAAUUUAGGUCUGCUAGUUGGAUGCUAUUUAAAUCUUUUGUUUCCCACUAUUUGUUUGAACAAGUCACCUCCUCUCUCUGUGAUUCAGUUUUCUCAUUGGUAAAACAGGAGUAUUUUAGUACUUACCUUUCCUGAGUCUUACGAGGACUAAACAAGAUAAUAGAAGGAAAAUACUUAGCCCAGGGCUUGACUCAGUAAUCAUUCAACAGGGGUUACCCAUGUCCACUCUUGUAUUACUGCCGACAAAGCUGUUCCCCUCUUAUUUAACCCCCCUGCACACUACCAUCCUCUAUUAUGUACCUUUGUCACUGUUAUGGGAAAAUCUUGAUAUUGGUGGCUUGGUGGUGAUUUCUAACAUGUGCUAUUAAUUUGACUUAUUUCUCUAUAGAAACCUCCCUUACACUGGACAGAGAAUGUGCCCUGAGACUUCCUGCCAGAGGGGCAGCCUGUGGAACAGUGCCACAGAAACAGAAAACAAGGAGAAAACGCUGAACCUGGAGCAACCCACGUGGAUUUCACUAGCCCCAGGUAACGUACUCACAAUUUAAUAAGUACUCCCAGUGAGAACAUAAGCUAGAGCAGAACGCAGUUUGGAUUUCAGACUCCCCAGGCAAGAAGUCAAUGAGAAAAUUAAUGCGAUCUCCACCAGACCCAAUGGGUUUCUGUUCUCACGGGCGAGAUAUUUCCAGUUCUCUGGAUUAACUGGUACUUCCUUUCAACCCAAGACUUCAAACAAACUGGCUCUUUUCUGCUUAAGGAAUUUACUUAUAUGCAAAGUUUUACAUGCACAUAAAAGUUAAAUGUAGUUACAUGUUUAACAGAUUAAUCAAAAGAGUAGAUAAAACCAGAACUUCUCUGAAAAACUGUAUUUGUGAAGAAAUCACAAAAGUAUCAGUAAAACUCAAGAACGUUUAAGAAUUGCUUCUUCCAUUUCUACUGUAUUCCAUCUAGUCUGAUUAGUUAAUUGGUUAAAGACUAGCUAUAACUCUGUGACUAUCACAGAGUGAGAUCUAAAAUGGAAAAUUGAUAGGUUUCUAACAAAAUUUUUUGUGGUCUUAAUCCUUCCUUAUGAGCUCUGAGUGAUAUUUCCAUUUUGUUUUGUUUAUCUCUUUAUUUUUUUCUAAUUUAAUAUGAUUCCUCCUUUUCCCAGGCUAUGCCUCAUACAUUAAAAUGUUUGAGUUCAUUAAAGUGGUUGAUUAUACUCUAGUUUGUGUGUGUCCUUUCUUCCAGAUGAAGGAAGCAGAGGAGACUACGAUUUCCUUUCCUAUCCUUUCCCCUGCCUGUGUUGGCAAUAAGAUACAAAGUAAAAUUAAUCACGCUUACCCUUGACUUCUUAACAUGCGUGUGCUUCUGAAAACUUCUCUGCAAUGGGAAAGAGUGUUUAUGUUUACAAAUAGAGCAGGAUGUCUUUAUCUAUGUUCCUAUUAUCUAAUCUUAACACUAAUUUGGAACUGAUUACUUUACUAGAUUAUGAAACAACCCCAGCAAUAUUUCACAAAUAAAAGUUCACAGUUAAAUUAAUGACAAAGCCAAAAGUAUGCCCAUGUAUUCCCGCUUCUGCCCUUUCUUAAGAUUCCAGUACAUUUAGUUUUGCAUGGAAUGUUCUUUAAUGUUAAUCGACUUUUUCUGGAACAGAAAAAUCAGUCAUUAUUCUUGAUUCAACCAGUGUCUUCUAUUUAAUAAAUCAAGCUAUAAUUAUAAGGCAGUUAAGAAAUGGGGAUAUUUAAGUAUUCUAGAUAAUUUGGUUUAGUGUUGCAAACACUAGGUUUUUUACUUAUGCGUUUUGUGUUUUUCCAAAUUAAAAAAAGAACUGCAGUAUGGACACUGGGCUGAAAUUUUAUUUAAAUAUAUUUUAAUUCAGAUUUCUUAUCAUGAUAAAGUUCCAUCAUUGUCACUCCCCCUAUGUUUCUCUAGAUAGAUGUAAACACCACUUUUUUUUUUGCACUGUCAAGAUAAUUUGAUUCUGGAAUACUUAAUAAAAGUGUAAGGAGUACUUGAGAGAAACGUAUGUGAUCGGUACAGGGUCGAUUUGACUCAGCUUUCUAAGUCUCUCUUUCUGAGCAAAGUCUCUUCCCUCCACGCCUUGCUGGGUACUGGACCACUGGUAGAGGCAGCGGUUAUGGAUCCAGCGCGGCUCUAGGCCAUAGCACAACACAAAUUCCAGGCAUUUUCCUCAAUGGUCACACUAACGGAGUGGCGGAGGCAGUGAGGGUGCUCCUGUGGGACAAGAAAGCCCUCAGCUGCUGUUGUUUAAUGUGAAUGUCCCUCUCCAGGUCAUCAGUCCCCACUCACCCUAUUUGUUAGCUCUGCCUGCUUAACCCAGUGAUGCUCCCUGCUCCACCCCCGUCUGUAUCCAUUUGCGUUUUUGACCCCUGCGGUAAAAAAAUGCACACCACAAAGGCUUCUUCAUAGAAUGUACCCACAGAGGAAUCAUCUGUCUUAAAAAUAAUAGUGGUAAUAACCUCUUGGAAAAUGCAAGUUCCCCACCUCCACUCUGCCCUUAAUCUAUCAUUCAGGCCCUAGCGUGAAUUACUUUGGUCACAUUAAAAUCCAGCAUUCCAGACUACCCAGAGGGGGCUUUUUGUUGACGUGGAGGACAGGACCAUUUUGGAGCAAGAGAUAGUGUGAGCAGCAUCGGAGGGGCCAACCCUGAGCAGAAAGAGCAGUUUUGGACAACCUAAGGAUAGUGUAGGGGCAUUCAGGACCUGGUGAACAGGGAGUGAAGAGAGAAGGAAGAGAGGGAAUUCCACAAAGGGAGGUGGCCUGGAAGGACAAAACAUUUUCCUUUCUCUCCCGUGGGAGCAGCUGGGGUGUCCUGUAAAGACUCUGUGGGGCUCUUUUGUGGGAAGGUUGGAAGGCUGCGUAUCUCAGGCUUAACCAGUCUCUCCCAGUCCAUUCCAGAUUUCACAUCCUUAUCCAGUCUCCACCUUAAGAGGAAAGAAUGGAGUGUCCUGUGAGAGGAGCGCAGAUGGCAACUGUCAGCUUGUCAGAGGAGGGAAAGGAGGUCAGACAAAGCACUCUCGCCUUGGGCUUCCUCUUCCCUCAACAUCUUCAGUUCUCAUGACUUUUCUCUAUUUGAGGAAACUUCUAUUCCCUGCAAAUUUGAGCAUCUCCUAUAUAAAAUAAAGCUACUUAGAGAAUUAAUACACUUGAGAAAUCAAUGCUUUUCUUUCCUCACAAAGAAAGGAAAAUACUGACAUCACCUGAAGGGAACUUCUAGAAGUUAAGAUAAGAUCAUGUAUAGGCGUGCAGUUUCCAUUCAAGAAAUGGUCUCUUGGAAGGAGUCUGUUGGAAUAUCUGUCAGUAGAGACUUGCUGGCUGCCACAGAAUUAAAGUUAAAAGGGAGAGGAAGUAAUGAUCUCCAACAGCAGCAAUUCUAUUAUUUUUAAAUCACAAGAAAACAAUUGCCAAUGAUGUCCUUAUGUCCUUACUCCAAAAGAAACAAACUAAUUAAUCCAUUUGUUUCUGACUCAUGUGUGUGUCACAUUGCCUAAUAAUAAGUAACUCGUACCAGGCUCUAUGAUAAGGGCUUUACAUGCACAAUCGUAUUUAUCCUCUCAAUAGCCUAAUGAGACAGGUACUUUCAUCAAUAUCUAGUUUUACAGGUGAGGGAACUGAGGCAAAGGAUGUUUAUUAAUUUGCUACAUGGCUGGUCCAGCCGUUUCCAGGAUUUGAAAUCAGGUGAGUGUGUGGGCUUUAAAUUGUUACGUGUACUCUUCCUCAUUGCCAUCUCUCUUCUAUCCCCCAAUCUUGAUGGAUGCCAACAAGGCCAAACAUUUUAAUAAGGGCAGAAAGUCUCUCUAUAGGUAAAAAUUUUAUUUCAAUUAUAAUAUUUUUAAACUAUUUCUCAAGAAAUUUCUUAAUCUUCUAAGAAAUCCAAUUACCAUCUCAUGUUUGCGCUUUCCAGGACUCACCAUUUUUUCCUUAGAUUGUAGUCAACUGAUGUCCAUGCAACCCUACACACAGCAGGGUAAACCUACUAAAACAAGGCGGUUUGGGAGGUGAAAGGGACCUGAGCCACGGAUGCGAGUUGGUCGGAUCAGGCAGUCGGAUCUGUCUCAGCAAGUCUUUGAUUGGGAUGGUCAAAUUCCAGGCAUUUUUAGCUCUACUUUCAAUGAAGCUUGCAUUAUUUGUGUUUCAUCUGUGCACAUCACUCAGAUGGAUCGCAAAACCAUUUAAGCUCAUUCCUUUUCAAUUAGCUAUUAUUGAACUCCAGCUGACUCCAUUCAGAAAUGCAGCAUUCAACGUCUGGGUUUGGGACCCCAGCCUCAGUUUUAGGUCUUCUCUUGCACCUCCCUGGGACUAAGGAACAUCCGCCCUGCUUUCACUGAAAAGGAAUACUGCAGCUUCCUGGAAACCUAUGAUGCUGCUCCUUUUCAGGCAUUUGGAGAAAGAAAUUCUUCUCCUCCAGUCCUUGUGAAACCACUAAACCCACAGCCGCAGGGUGGCCCCAGGGCUUACCUUUCGGUGUUGAGUGUGUGUGUUGGAGACGCUGUGGUUUUUUGGUUGAGGAGAAAACCCGGCACAUAUUAUCUUCAACUCCUUGCUGAAAGGCCUUUCUCAGAGAGCGGGGUCUGAAAUUCUAGACCAGCACUUGCAUUUUUACUGUCAUUGUUUAGAGAGCUUGAGAUGACUGUCCCUACCAGGAACUGCAAGAAAGGUUUACACAGAUGUACACGUGCCCAGUGUAAAAUUGGAGGUACUGAACUGAAAUAUUCACUCUCCCAGAUGCUAAGAAAUCAAAGCAGUGCUUCAAAAUUCCCAAAUAUAAGGACCAAUAUCCACUUCCAAGAUACUACUGACCCCUACACUAAUGUGGGGACAGCGCGGCAGGAAGAGGUUGAGGAGGAAAAUAAAACAUGAGGCCAGAGUCUGUAGCAUAG
RNAcentral lists this long non-coding RNA (17639 nucleotides) under Equus caballus (horse). Its description in RNAcentral is "lncRNA (ENSECAG00000044284.1)". Lineage: Eukaryota; Metazoa; Chordata; Mammalia; Perissodactyla; Equidae. The record is from RNAcentral.